CUAAUAAGCGCGCGAGCGCCGCUGUUUAAACUUCAGCGGUUACGGUGCGCUGACUGCGCUCAGCGUUCGGGAGAACGACGAUUACAUUGGUAAGUGAGAAAAUUAAUUAAUUGCAGCUUAUUUCAAUUACUUUUACCUAAACCCUUGUCAUUUUUAGUUAGCCUAACGUUACACGUUUAUUUCAAGAAGCUAAAAAGAAGAAAGGUGGUUUAUCGCGUUGUCCAGGCCUGCGCAAUUCUCCGCCGGGAGAUGUUCAUCUAUCUCAGAGAGCACUUUUAAAGUUUUACCACCACCUUAUCAGAGUGCUGAAAAGUGGAAGUCAGAGGAAACAUGCCCAACUUGCUGCAAAACAAUAACACAAAAGGUACAUUAUUUCUUUUUCCUCACAGUACCAACUUUGGGGAAACUCAUAA
This 413-nucleotide long non-coding RNA is filed under the name Sinocyclocheilus anshuiensis. Its description in RNAcentral is "lncRNA (ENSSANG00000026568.1)". The record is from RNAcentral. Lineage: Eukaryota; Metazoa; Chordata; Actinopteri; Cypriniformes; Cyprinidae.